GGGUUGUGAGGUUAAGCGACUAAGCGUACACGGUGGAUGCCCUGGCAGUCAGAGGCGAUGAAGGACGUGCUAAUCUGCGAAAAGCGUCGGUAAGGUGAUAUGAACCGUUACAGCCGGCGAUGUCCGAAUGGGGAAACCCAGUGCAAUUCGUUGCACUAUCGUUAACUGAAUACAUAGGUUAACGAGGCGAACCGGGGGAACUGAAACAUCUAAGUACCCCGAGGAAAAGAAAUCAACCGAGAUUCCCCCAGUAGCGGCGAGCGAACGGGGAGCAGCCCAGAGUCUGAAUCAGCUUGUGUGUUAGUGGAACGGUCUGGAAAGUCCGACGGUACAGGGUGAUAGUCCCGUACACCAAAAUGCACAGGCUGUGAACUCGAAGAGUAGGGCGGGACACGUGGUAUCCUGUCUGAAUAUGGGGGGACCAUCCUCCAAGGCUAAAUACUCCUGACUGACCGAUAGUGAACCAGUACCGUGAGGGAAAGGCGAAAAGAACCCCGGCGAGGGGAGUGAAAAAGAACCUGAAACCGUGUACGUACAAGCAGUGGGAGCACCUUCGGGUGUGACUGCGUACCUUUUGUAUAAUGGGUCAGCGACUUAUAUUCUGUAGCAAGGUUAACCGUAUAGGGGAGCCGCAGGGAAACCGAGUCUUAACUGGGCGUUAAGUUGCAGGGUAUAGACCCGAAACCCGGUGAUCUAGCCAUGGGCAGGUUGAAGGUUGGGUAACACUAACUGGAGGACCGAACCGACUAAUGUUGAAAAAUUAGCGGAUGACUUGUGGCUGGGGGUGAAAGGCCAAUCAAACCGGGAGAUAGCUGGUUCUCCCCGAAAGCUAUUUAGGUAGCGCCUCGUGAACUCAUCUUCGGGGGUAGAGCACUGUUUCGGCUAGGGGGUCAUCCCGACUUACCAACCCGAUGCAAACUACGAAUACCGAAGAAUGUUAUCACGGGAGACACACGGCGGGUGCUAACGUCCGUCGUGAAGAGGGAAACAACCCAGACCGCCAGCUAAGGUCCCAAAGUCAUGGUUAAGUGGGAAACGAUGUGGGAAGGCACAGACAGCCAGGAUGUUGGCUUAGAAGCAGCCAUCAUUUAAAGAAAGCGUAAUAGCUCACUGGUCGAGUCGGCCUGCGCGGAAGAUGUAACGGGGCUAAACCAUGCACCGAAGCUGCGGCAGCGACACUAUGUGUUGUUGGGUAGGGGAGCGUUCUGUAAGCCUGCGAAGGUGUGCUGUGAGGCAUGCUGGAGGUAUCAGAAGUGCGAAUGCUGACAUAAGUAACGAUAAAGCGGGUGAAAAGCCCGCUCGCCGGAAGACCAAGGGUUCCUGUCCAACGUUAAUCGGGGCAGGGUGAGUCGACCCCUAAGGCGAGGCCGAAAGGCGUAGUCGAUGGGAAACAGGUUAAUAUUCCUGUACUUGGUGUUACUGCGAAGGGGGGACGGAGAAGGCUAUGUUAGCCGGGCGACGGUUGUCCCGGUUUAAGCAUGUAGGCUGGUUGUCCAGGCAAAUCCGGAUAAUCAAGGCUGAGGUGUGAUGACGAGGCACUACGGUGCUGAAGUAACAAAUGCCCUGCUUCCAGGAAAAGCCUCUAAGCAUCAGGUAACAUUAAAUCGUACCCCAAACCGACACAGGUGGUCAGGUAGAGAAUACCAAGGCGCUUGAGAGAACUCGGGUGAAGGAACUAGGCAAAAUGGUGCCGUAACUUCGGGAGAAGGCACGCUGGUGUGUAGGUGAAGCCCCUGCGGGUGGAGCUGAGACCAGUCGAAGAUACCAGCUGGCUGCAACUGUUUAUUAAAAACACAGCACUGUGCAAACACGAAAGUGGACGUAUACGGUGUGACGCCUGCCCGGUGCCGGAAGGUUAAUUGAUGGGGUUAUCCGUAAGGAGAAGCUCUUGAUCGAAGCCCCGGUAAACGGCGGCCGUAACUAUAACGGUCCUAAGGUAGCGAAAUUCCUUGUCGGGUAAGUUCCGACCUGCACGAAUGGCGUAAUGAUGGCCAGGCUGUCUCCACCCGAGACUCAGUGAAAUUGAACUCGCUGUGAAGAUGCAGUGUACCCGCGGCAAGACGGAAAGACCCCGUGAACCUUUACUAUAGCUUGACACUGAACAUUGAGCCUUGAUGUGUAGGAUAGGUGGGAGGCUUUGAAGCGUGGACGCCAGUCUGCGUGGAGCCAACCUUGAAAUACCACCCUUUAAUGUUUGAUGUUCUAACGUUGGCCCCUUACCGGGGUUGCGGACAGUGUCUGGUGGGUAGUUUGACUGGGGCGGUCUCCUCCCAAAGCGUAACGGAGGAGCACGAAGGUUAGCUAAUCCUGGUCGGACAUCAGGAGGUUAGUGCAAUGGCAUAAGCUAGCUUGACUGCGAGCGUGACGGCGCGAGCAGGUGCGAAAGCAGGUCAUAGUGAUCCGGUGGUUCUGAAUGGAAGGGCCAUCGCUCAACGGAUAAAAGGUACUCCGGGGAUAACAGGCUGAUACCGCCCAAGAGUUCAUAUCGACGGCGGUGUUUGGCACCUCGAUGUCGGCUCAUCACAUCCUGGGGCUGAAGUAGGUCCCAAGGGUAUGGCUGUUCGCCAUUUAAAGUGGUACGCGAGCUGGGUUUAGAACGUCGUGAGACAGUUCGGUCCCUAUCUGCCGUGGGCGCUGGAGAAUUGAGGGGGGCUGCUCCUAGUACGAGAGGACCGGAGUGGACGCAUCACUGGUGUUCGGGUUGUCAUGCCAAUGGCACUGCCCGGUAGCUAAAUGCGGAAGAGAUAAGUGCUGAAAGCAUCUAAGCACGAAACUUGCCCCGAGAUGAGUUCUCCCUGAGACUUUAAGUCUCCUGAAGGAACGUUAAAGACGAUGACGUUGAUAGGCCGGGUGUGUAAGCGCAGCGAUGCGUUGAGCUAACCGGUACUAAUGAACCGUGAGGCUUAACCUUACAACGCCGAAG
RNAcentral lists this ribosomal RNA (2923 nucleotides) under Klebsiella pneumoniae. Its description in RNAcentral is "bacterial LSU rRNA". It matches the Rfam family "Bacterial large subunit ribosomal RNA". The record is from RNAcentral. Lineage: Bacteria; Pseudomonadati; Pseudomonadota; Gammaproteobacteria; Enterobacterales; Enterobacteriaceae.